Populus trichocarpa (black cottonwood) is the source of this 2372-nucleotide RNA transcript. It is a transcript of the gene named probable L-cysteine desulfhydrase, chloroplastic, with no coding region annotated. The transcript is spliced from 3 exons. The record is from RefSeq and is a predicted model, not a curated record. NCBI's taxonomy places the organism in Eukaryota, Viridiplantae, Streptophyta, Magnoliopsida, Malpighiales, Salicaceae.
UAUGUUUUCCAUAUGUCACCAAAACAUUAUUUUUCUCCACUCAUCUCUUCCUCUUUACAUCAUCUCUACUUUCCUCUCCAUUAGGCCUCCUCCAUGCCAUGGUUUCCUCCUCCUCCUCCUCCUCCUCCUCCUCGAAGCACUGCAAGAAAAACGACUCCUUCAAUGGCUGCUCCAACCCCACCAAGAAACCAAGACUUUCUUUCAUUUCUGACUCUGAAAUCCAAUCAGAGUUCUCCCACCAUGACCAAACCAUCUCUCGGAUUAACAACGGCAGCUUUGGGAGCUGUCCUCAAUCUGUCAUCUCUGCCCAGCAAAGCUUCCAGCUCCAGUUCCUCCGCCAGCCUGAUCACUUCUACUUCAACACCCUCAAAUCUUCUAUCCUUCAUUCACGUUCCAUCAUCAAAUCUUUGGUAAACGCUCGUUCUGUUGAUGAAAUCUCCCUUGUGGACAAUGCCACCACUGCUGUUGCCAUUGUUUUACAGAACUAUGCAUGGGGUUUUACUGAAGGGAGAUUUAACAAAGGAGAUGUUGCUGUCAUGUUGCAUUAUGCUUAUGGUGCUGUAAAAAAGUCUGUUCAGGCUUAUGUGACGCGUGCUGGAGGGGAAGUUAUUGAGGUACAGUUACCUUUCCCUAUUACAUCAAAGGAAGAGAUCGUGAGUGAAUUUAGAAAGGCUUUAGAGAGAGGUAAAGAAAAUGGGAAGAAGAAAGUUAGGUUGGCUGUGAUUGAUCAUGUUACUUCAAUGCCAAGUGUUGUUAUUCCUGUUAAAGAAUUAGUUAAGAUUUGUAGAGAGGAAGGUGUUGAUCAGGUUUUUGUUGAUGCUGCUCAUGGAAUUGGGUGUGUUGAUGUUGAUGUGAGAGAUAUUGGGGCUGAUUUUUAUACUAGUAAUUUGCAUAAGUGGUUUUUUUGCCCUCCUUCUAUUGCCUUUUUGUAUUGCAGGAAGAGAGGAGAGGAGGGCAAUGGGGGUGAUCUGCAUCACCCUGUCGUGUCUCAUGAGUAUGGUAAUGGAUUGGCUGUAGAGAGUGCUUGGAUUGGGACUAGGGAUUAUAGUGCUCAAUUGGUUGUUCCAGCGGUUUUGGAGUUUAUUAAUAGGUUUGAAGGUGGGAUUGACGGAAUUAAGGAGAGGAAUCAUGAAAAAGUUGUGGAGAUGGGGGAGAUGUUGGUGAAAGCUUGGGGGACUAAUCUUGGGUCUCCACCGGAGAUGUGUGGGAGUAUGAUUAUGGUUGGAUUGCCUGCUUGUUUGGGGAUUUCGAGCGAGUCGGAUUCUUUGAAGUUAAGGACACAUUUGAGAGAGCAUUUCCAGGUUGAAGUUCCUAUUUAUUUUAGAGCUCCGCUUGAUGGAGAAGUUGGUUCAGUUACUGGCUAUGCUCGGAUUUCUCAUCAAGUUUACAACAAGGUUGAGGAUUAUUACAGGUUUAGGGAUGCAGUUAACCAACUGAUCAGUGAUGGCUUCACUUGUGCAUCUCUCUCUGAUUGAAGAGGUUUGCUUUCCUAGAGCAGCUAUACCUUUCCAGUUUCGGACUUCUCUCCUCCAGGUGCAUGUCAAAUUCCCUAGCUUUUGUCUUACUUUCCUAGUACUCUACUGGAGAGAGUGUUCUGGUCUUUGAUUCAGGGUAUUUACUGGGGUUCUUGUGUGGGAUUUACCUGCAAAACAGUAUCUAUUCAAGGACCAUCCUUGGAAUGUCUCAUAUACAUGGCAGUGUUUAAAUAGAUUGUUCCCUGCGAUUCCUUCAUCUAUCUUUGAAUGAACAGAAGAAUUAUUCUGUGUAAGAUUUUCUCUUCUAUAUUUGAGGGUAAUUGCAAUAAAUGGUUGUAUCUAAAUUGAUUGAAAUGAAAUUAGAGAGCACAAUUUGUAAGAAUGAACAUGCUCCAAAGCAAUUAAUCUGCUGGUAGAGGCUGCUCCUCCACCAGUUCCAUGCAGCUGAAUUCCUUUAGCUACAACACGCAGGAUGAUUCAUGCAUUAGUCUUCUUGAAAACAGCCUGGCCAUUAGUGAAUAUGUCCAUGUACAUUUCAACGAGGUAUGGUAGAAGUGUUCCAAUAAAUAACAGCAAGUGGCCAUGGUUUCGGUACCAUGACUCGCAAAAGUUGACGAACAAACUUGAGAUUGAUGAUGAGUAUCAGAGCUCCAAGAUUGUUCCUCUACUUUCUUUCUUUUGAAUUUGUAGAGGAGAUGAACUUGUCUGUUCUUCUCCCUAGUGAUAUCCUUGUAAAUAUUAUCAUUAACCUAUUUUAAUUCUUGUAGGGCUCAAAAAAGCUAGAGCUUAUCACAUUUAACAGUUGACCUUAACUAUCAGUUUGUGUGCUUGUAUUGUAACCCAAUAUGCCGUGGAGAUUGUAUCUGAUAUAUUUAUUAGAUUUCUGGUUUUUGUGUU